AGCAGCCGCGGUAAUUCCAGCUCCAAUAGCGUAUAUUAAAGUUGUUGCAGUUAAAAAGCUCGUAGUUGAACUUCAGGCCUGUCCAGACGGUCCGCCUUAAUUGGUGUGUACUGUCCUUGGGUGGGUCCUACCUUCUGGCGAAGCGGCAUGGCCUUAAUUGGUUGUGUCGGGGAACCAGGACUUUUACUGUGAAAAAAUUAGAGUGUUCAAAGCGGGCAAAUAUGCUCGAAUACAUUAGCAUGGAAUAAUGGAAUAGGACGAUGGUUCUAUUUUGUUGGUUCUAGGACCGUUGUAAUGAUUAAUAGGGAUAGUUGGGGGCAUUAGUAUUCAAUUGUCAGAGGUGAAAUUCUUGGAUUUAUUGAAGACUAACUACUGCGAAAGCAUUUGCCAAGGAUGUUUUCAUUAAUCAAGAACGAAAGUUAGGGGAUCGAAGACGAUCAGAUACCGUCGUAGUCUUAACCAUAAACUAUGCCGGCUAGGAAUCGGGCGAUGUUGACAAAAUGACUCGCUCGGCACCUCA
This 520-nucleotide unclassified non-coding RNA is filed under the name uncultured Glomus. RNAcentral describes it as "bacterial SSU rRNA". It matches the Rfam family "Eukaryotic small subunit ribosomal RNA", at positions 569 to 1090 of the family's 1831-position model. RNAcentral also lists the same sequence under 1 other name. Lineage: Eukaryota; Fungi; Glomeromycota; Glomeromycetes; Glomerales; Glomeraceae. The record is from RNAcentral.